RNAcentral lists this ribosomal RNA (468 nucleotides) under uncultured bacterium. RNAcentral describes it as "partial 16S ribosomal RNA". It matches the Rfam family "Bacterial small subunit ribosomal RNA", at positions 28 to 507 of the family's 1533-position model. The record is from RNAcentral.
GACGAACGCUGGCGGCGUGCUUAACACAUGCAAGUCGAACGGAAAGGCCCUGCUUUUGUGGGGUGCUCGAGUGGCGAACGGGUGAGUAACACGUGAGUAACCUGCCCUUGACUUUGGGAUAACUUCAGGAAACUGGGGCUAAUACCGGAUAGGAGCUCCUGCUGCAUGGUGGGGGUUGGAAAGUUUCGGCGGUUGGGGAUGGACUCGCGGCUUAUCAGCUUGUUGGUGGGGUAGUGGCUUACCAAGGCUUUGACGGGUAGCCGGCCUGAGAGGGUGACCGGCCACAUUGGGACUGUGAUACGGCCCAGACUCCUACGGGAGGCAGCAGUGGGGAAUAUUGCACAAUGGGCGGAAGCCUGAUGCAGCAACGCCGCGUGCGGGAUGACGGCCUUCGGGUUGUAAACCGCUUUCGCCUGUGAUGAAGCGUGAGUGACGGUAAUGGGUAAAGAAGCACCGGCUAACUACGUG